CUCCGCCGGCGACCGGCGCACGGGUGAGUAACACGUAUGCAACCUGCCCCUGUCAGGGGGACAACCCGCCGAAAGGCGGGCUAAACCCGCGUACAUGCCACCGGGGCAUCCCGGAGGCAGGAAAGGCUUCGGCCGGACAGGGAUGGGCAUGCAGCGCAUUAGGCAGUAGGCGGGGUAACGGCCCACCUAACCGACGAUGCGUAGGGGUUCUGAGAGGAAGGUCCCCCACACUGGUACUGAGACACGGACCAGACUCCUACGGGAGGCAGCAG
This 272-nucleotide ribosomal RNA is filed under the name uncultured bacterium. RNAcentral's name for it is "partial 16S ribosomal RNA". It matches the Rfam family "Bacterial small subunit ribosomal RNA", at positions 83 to 354 of the family's 1533-position model. The record is from RNAcentral.